This 460-nucleotide ribosomal RNA is filed under the name uncultured bacterium. RNAcentral describes it as "partial 16S ribosomal RNA". It matches the Rfam family "Bacterial small subunit ribosomal RNA", at positions 338 to 795 of the family's 1533-position model. The record is from RNAcentral.
CCUACGGGCGGCAGCAGUGAGGAAUAUUGGUCAAUGGACGCGAGCCUGAACCAGCCAAGUCGCGUGAAGGAUGACGGCCCUAUGAGUUGUAAACUGCUUUUGUAAGAGAGUAAAGUGAGACACGUGUACCUUUUUGUAUGUACUGUAUGAAUAAGGAUCGGCUAACUCCGUGCCAGCAGCCGCGGUAAUACGGAGGAUCCGAGCGUUAUCCGGAUUUAUUGGGUUUAAAGGGAGCGUAGAUGGGUUGUUAAGUCAGUUGUGAAAGUUUGAGGCUCAACCUUAGAAUUGCAAUUGAUACUGGCAGCCUAGAGUACAGUUGAGGUAGGCGGAAUUUGUGGUGUAGCGGUGAAAUGCAUAGAGAUCAUACAGAACACCGAUUGCGAAGGCAUCUCACGAAGCUGCGAUUGACGUUGAUGCACGAAAGCGUGGGUAGCAAACAGGAUUAGAUACCCCAGUAGUC